GAGGGUAUAGUUCAGUGGUAGUGUGUGUGCUUAGCAUGCAUGAGGCCCUGGGUUCAAUUCUUAGUACCUCCA
This 72-nucleotide transfer RNA is filed under the name Camelus bactrianus (Bactrian camel). It matches the Rfam family "tRNA". From Rfam's summary of the family: Transfer RNA (tRNA) molecules are approximately 80 nucleotides in length. Their secondary structure includes four short double-helical elements and three loops (D, anti-codon, and T loops). Further hydrogen bonds mediate the characteristic L-shaped molecular structure. tRNAs have two regions of fundamental functional importance: the anti-codon, which is responsible for specific mRNA codon recognition, and the 3' end, to which the tRNAs corresponding amino acid is attached (by aminoacyl-tRNA synthetases). tRNAs cope with the degeneracy of the genetic code in two manners: having more than one tRNA (with a specific anti-codon) for a particular amino acid; and 'wobble' base-pairing, i.e. permitting non-standard base-pairing at the 3rd anti-codon position. Lineage: Eukaryota; Metazoa; Chordata; Mammalia; Artiodactyla; Camelidae. The record is from Rfam by way of RNAcentral. RNAcentral also lists the same sequence under 1 other name.